Non-coding RNA from Caenorhabditis elegans, 89 nucleotides. NCBI's taxonomy places the organism in Eukaryota, Metazoa, Nematoda, Chromadorea, Rhabditida, Rhabditidae. The record is from Ensembl.
AUCGCGGCCAGAAAGUGGAAUGCACAGUUUGGCAGGUUCUUGAUGUGGCAUUGGGAGAAUCCUUCUGGACCAAGGGCUUUCGAGUUUCU